Molecule: RNA transcript, 1803 nt
Organism: Diospyros lotus (date-plum)
Lineage: Eukaryota; Viridiplantae; Streptophyta; Magnoliopsida; Ericales; Ebenaceae
Gene name: protein ROOT PRIMORDIUM DEFECTIVE 1
Exons: 2
Source: RefSeq, a predicted model, not a curated record
UGUUGCUGCUCUCGAAGCUAAGCCUUCCCUCCGUCGCUGAACCUGGGAAAAAAUGAGAACAUUACAGAGUAUUGCAGGUGCAGCCAAGGAAACUGCAAGAUCGUUCGAGGAGAUAAUCCAGUUCGGGCCGUUCAACUCAGCGGUUCAACGCAGAUGGAAGAAGAAGCCCACUGUCACUGCUCAGGUCCGCUUAGAGACUCAUCGAACCAGGGACCACAAGCUCGACAAGCUCACUUCCCGUCUCAACCAGCUCAAUCUCGUGCUCGGCCUCCACAAGGUCAUGUCCACUCGGAAGCGAGGCCCCUUCGUCUCCGUCCAGCUGGUUUCCCGCUGGAAGAACGUCGUCGGCCUCAACAUCUCCGCCGGCGCUUUCCUUCGGAAAUACCCCCACAUUUUCGAGACAUUCACGCAUCCCGUUCGACGAAAUGUCUGUUGUAGGAUAAGGGCGAAAAUGAAGAAAUUGAUUGAAGAAGAAGAGGCCGUAAUUAGGGAAUUAGAAUCGGAAAAUGUAGGGCGUCUAAAGAAGCUAUUGAUGAUGUCGGUGAACGGGACACUUCAUAUUCAUGCCUUGAGGCUGGUUAGGAGAGAGUUGGCAUUGCCUCUGGAUUUUCGAGAAUCAAUACUCGGAAAAUACGCUUGUGAUUUCCAUCUGGUUGAUGUGGAGAUUGUGUCUUUGGCCUGUAGUAGAGACGAGGAUUUGGGCGUGGCUGAGGUUGAAAAGUGGAGAGAGAAAGAGUACAGGGAGAAAUGGUUGAGUGAGUUUGAAACGCAGUAUGCAUUCCCUAUCAAUUUCCCCACCGGGUUUAAGAUCGAGGCAGGUUCUAGGGAGAAACUGAAGAAUUGGCAGAGGCUUCCUUAUGUGAAGCCAUAUGAGAGGAAAGAGGUGGUUAAAGUCCGUACUUGCGGAGGGAUUCAAAGGUUUGAAAAGCGAGCUGUUUCGAUUCUUCACGAGUUCUUGUGCUUGACUGUGGAGAAAAUGGUUCCAGUUGAACGGUUAGUGCACUUCAGGAAGGAUUUUGGUAUGGAAGGAAUUAAUGUGCUCGAGCUUGUUCUGAAGCACCCGGGAAUUUUCUACGUAUCUACCAAAGGAAAUAACCAAACUGUUAUCCUGAGAGAAGCAUAUGGUAAAGGGUGUUUGAUUGAUCCAAACUCAGUUUAUGUUGUCCGGAGAAAAAUGUUGGACCUUGUUUUCCUGGGGCGUCGGAAUACUAGAGAGUUAAAAACUUGGAAACAAAUCAAGGACAAGAGUAACAAUGUAGUAGGCAAUAACAAUGGAGGGGGGACAAGGGAUGGUGACUGGGUUAUUCCAUUGCUUGAGAGUUCUACUGAUUAAAAUAUUGGCAAUGAGCAGAAAGAAAUUGUUGGGUAAGUUUAUUCAAUGAAAAAUGACUUAUCUGUGCUCAGUUGCAGCUUCUUGUGUGCUGACACCAAGAAGAUUUGGUUACUGUAGUUGACUUCUCAAGAGAACUCACUUUAAAGAAGCCUAAAUUUGGGGCAAUGCUAUUCCGGGCAGAGUGCUUAGGGCCACUAAUGAAUCAAGCAGUUGUGGAGGUAUUUGACGUUAUCACCCGCGCUUAGUAGUCCUGAGAUUCCAGUUCGAGUCCAUACAACACUCUAAAAGAAAUGAAAAACAAGCACCAGUUCAAAAAGAAAUGCUCAUUGUGAUGCUGAUUCAAAAUUUGUUUGGUAGGGGUGCGCAUAAUCGGGUUGAUUCCGAUUCGGUAGGAGUGUCCGCUCAAUUCAAUCCGGUAUGCCACUGGGUACCAACUUUUAAACCCAAAACUAAAUCAUAACACACAAUCA